CCGCCGAAUUCAACUAGUGAUUAACCUUACCAACUCUUGACGUCCCAUUGACCGCUUGAGAGAUCAAGUUUUCCCUUCCGGGGACAAUGGUGACAGGUGGUGCAUGGUUGUCGUCAGCUCGUGUCGUGAGAUGUUGGGUUAAGUCCCGCAACGAGCGCAACCCCUAUCCUUAGUUGCCAGCAUUGAGUUGGGCACUCUAGGGAGACUGCCGGUGACAAACCGGAGGAAGGUGGGGAUGACGUCAAAUCAUCAUGCCCCUUAUGAGUUGGGCUACACACGUGCUACAAUGGACGGUACAAAGGGCAGCGAGACCGCGAGGUGGAGCCAAUCCCAUAAAGCCGUUCCCAGUACGGAUUGCAGGCUGCAACUCGCCUGCAUGAAGUCGGAAUCGCUAGUAAUCGCAGGUCAGCAUACUGCGGUGAAUACGUUCCCGGGUCUUGUACACACCG
This 449-nucleotide ribosomal RNA is filed under the name uncultured bacterium. RNAcentral's name for it is "bacterial SSU rRNA". It matches the Rfam family "Bacterial small subunit ribosomal RNA", at positions 942 to 1392 of the family's 1533-position model. The record is from RNAcentral.